AGCGAACGCUGGCGGCAGGCCUAACACAUGCAAGUCGAACGAGCUCUUCGGAGUUAGUGGCGGACGGGUGAGUAACACGUGGGAACGUGCCUUUAGGUUCGGAAUAACUCAGGGAAACUUGUGCUAAUACCGAAUGUGCCCUUCGGGGGAAAGAUUUAUCGCCUUUAGAGCGGCCCGCGUCUGAUUAGCUAGUUGGUUGGGGUAAUGGCGCACCAAGGCGACGAUCAGUAGCUGGUCUGAGAGGAUGACCAGCCACAUUGGGACUGAGACACGGGCCAAACUCCUAGGGGAGGCAGCAGUGGGGAAUCUUGCGCAAUGGGCGAAAGCCUGACGCAGCCAUGCCGCGUGUAUGGCGAGGGGCCUAGGAUUGUAGAAUACUAUCACCGGUGAAGAUGAUGACUUGAGCCGGAGAAGAAGCCCCGGCUAACUUCGUGCCAGCCGCCGCGGUAC
Molecule: ribosomal RNA, 450 nt
Filed under: uncultured bacterium
Lineage: Bacteria
Description: partial 16S ribosomal RNA
Rfam family: Bacterial small subunit ribosomal RNA
Source: RNAcentral